Non-coding RNA from Prunus mume (Japanese apricot), 724 nucleotides. The record is from RefSeq and is a predicted model, not a curated record. Lineage: Eukaryota; Viridiplantae; Streptophyta; Magnoliopsida; Rosales; Rosaceae.
UCCAGUCUCUGGACUCAGGAGCCUCCCCGCACUUCUGAAAAGAAAGAGCAAGCCUCUCGACACUUGAUCUUGCAUUUUCGGUCCAACCCAUUAGAGCCCUCUCUACUGUGCGCCCUCUAUCUUCAUCAUUCAUUUUCAGUCCCAGCUCCCUCCUUUCAAUCUCUUGCUCGAAAGUUUUUCAGGCUCUGAGAGAAAUGACCUUAAUGAGGGGAGAGCCACUAGUGACGAAGCUUGCAGUGUUGGCCAAGUACGUGGUUCUUCCUGGAGCCAUGGUCGCCGCCCUCGUCUAUUCACCUCCUGAUUACAAUUCUUCCAAGAACAAUCCUAAGUCCACCAAAUAAGACGUAGCUUGGGACAUACUGCAUAGAAGUGGAUGUUGGAGAUGUGCUCUCCUCCCGUUCAAAUUUCGUAUGGAAUAAUCUGAGCCUAAUAGUAGUUGCUCAAGUUGAGGGAUUUUUCCUGCUUUCUUUGAAGGACUUUGAGAUGAACUCUUUAAAUGUACUUCCUUAUUACCAGAUUUCCUCUGUCAAUCCCCUAAUCGAAUGACUCUCGAUGAAUAACUGUUAGGGAUGAAAUCUCAUUGGAUGACUAGUGCGGCGACUGAUGAUAUGUUUUGUUAAAAACCCAGUAGCUCUCUGUUUCUUGUCACAAAACGUAAACCUUGAUUAGGAUUUAAUUUGUUGAGGUUUUUUCUAAUCAAUGGGGGAGGGAUUCGAAGGUUGAA